AGAGAAAUGUUAUUACAAGAAUGGGUUUCUAACCCAAACCAAGCGAUUAAGUCCGCUCUUUCUCUU
Molecule: transfer RNA, 66 nt
Filed under: Thor amboinensis
Lineage: Eukaryota; Metazoa; Arthropoda; Malacostraca; Decapoda; Hippolytidae
Description: tRNA-Ser
Source: RNAcentral